RNAcentral lists this ribosomal RNA (829 nucleotides) under Acremonium sp. A6. Its description in RNAcentral is "eukaryotic LSU rRNA". The stretch from base 530 to 829 matches the Rfam family "Eukaryotic large subunit ribosomal RNA", at positions 1 to 305 of the family's 3401-position model. Lineage: Eukaryota; Fungi; Ascomycota; Sordariomycetes; Hypocreales; Bionectriaceae. The record is from RNAcentral.
CAGCGGAGGGAUCAUUACCGAGUUGCAAAACUCCCAACCCAUUGUGAACCAAUACCACUGUUGCUUCGGCGGACACGCCCCGGGCGCACCUCCUCACGGGGGCGUGCCCCGGAACCAGGCGCCCGCCGGGGGACCGAAACCUCUGUAUUUACCAUUUGAGUACUCUGAGUGUGAUUUACAAAAUCAAAAUUAAAACUUUCAACAACGGAUCUCUUGGCUCUAGCAUCGAUGAAGAACGCAGCGAAAUGCGAUAAGUAAUGCGAAUUGCAGAAUUCAGUGAAUCAUCGAAUCUUUGAACGCACAUUGCGCCCGCCAGUAUUCUGGCGGGCAUGCCUGUCUGAGCGUCGUUUCGACCCUCGCGCCCGGCUUCUGUCGGGGGCGGUGUUGGGGAUCGGCCACACCCUUCAGUGGGAGGCCGGCCCCUAAAUGGAGUGGCGACCACGCCGUAGCCUCCUCUGCGUAGUAGUAACUAACCUCGCAGGCGGAGAGCGGUGCGGCCCGCCGUAAAACCCCCCAACUUUUACAAGGUCGACCUCAGAUCAGGUAGGAAUACCCGCUGAACUUAAGCAUAUCAAUAAGCGGAGGAAAAGAAACCAACAGGGAUUGCCUCAGUAACGGCGAGUGAAGCGGCAACAGCUCAAAUUUGAAAUCUGGCCUCUGGCCCGAGUUGUAAUUUGCAGAGGAUGUUUCUGGCGAGGUGCCUUCCGAGUUCCCUGGAACGGGACGCCAUAGAGGGUGAGAGCCCCGUACGGUUGGUCGCUAAGCCUCUGUGAAACUCCUUCGACGAGUCGAGUAGUUUGGGAAUGCUGCUCUAAAUGGGAAGUGUACG